This 280-nucleotide unclassified non-coding RNA is filed under the name Hevea brasiliensis (rubber tree). Lineage: Eukaryota; Viridiplantae; Streptophyta; Magnoliopsida; Malpighiales; Euphorbiaceae. The record is from RNAcentral.
GCAAAUUCUAGGCAAUGCCAUUGGGAGGGCUCCUAAAGAUAAGAUAUUCAAGAAGUAUAUAGAGAUAGAGCUGCAACUGGGAAAUAUAGAUCGAUGCCGUAAACUUUAUGAGAAGUAUUUGGUGUGGUCACCUGAAAAUUGUUAUGCAUGGAGCAAGUAUGCAGAGUUGGAGAGAUCUCUGUGUGAAACUGAUCGAGCCAGGUCUAUAUUUGAGCUUGCAAUUGCACAACCUGCACUGGAUAUGCCAGAGUUAUUGUGGAAGGCCUAUAUUGAUUUUGAG